RNAcentral lists this transfer RNA (69 nucleotides) under Urocitellus parryii (Arctic ground squirrel). Its description in RNAcentral is "Spermophilus parryii (Arctic ground squirrel) tRNA". It matches the Rfam family "tRNA". From Rfam's summary of the family: Transfer RNA (tRNA) molecules are approximately 80 nucleotides in length. Their secondary structure includes four short double-helical elements and three loops (D, anti-codon, and T loops). Further hydrogen bonds mediate the characteristic L-shaped molecular structure. tRNAs have two regions of fundamental functional importance: the anti-codon, which is responsible for specific mRNA codon recognition, and the 3' end, to which the tRNAs corresponding amino acid is attached (by aminoacyl-tRNA synthetases). tRNAs cope with the degeneracy of the genetic code in two manners: having more than one tRNA (with a specific anti-codon) for a particular amino acid; and 'wobble' base-pairing, i.e. permitting non-standard base-pairing at the 3rd anti-codon position. RNAcentral also lists the same sequence under 2 other names. Lineage: Eukaryota; Metazoa; Chordata; Mammalia; Rodentia; Sciuridae. The record is from Rfam by way of RNAcentral.
GGGAUUGUGGCUCAAUGGCAGAGCACUUGCCUCAUACGUGUGAGGCACUGGGUUCAAUCCUCAGCACCA